RNAcentral lists this non-coding RNA (32 nucleotides) under Mus musculus (house mouse). Lineage: Eukaryota; Metazoa; Chordata; Mammalia; Rodentia; Muridae. The record is from RNAcentral.
UAUUUCUGUGGCCCUCAUGCUGUUAAAGCGGC